Molecule: long non-coding RNA, 221 nt
Filed under: Nicotiana benthamiana
Lineage: Eukaryota; Viridiplantae; Streptophyta; Magnoliopsida; Solanales; Solanaceae
Description: long non-coding RNA (NBEN_LNC023401)
Source: RNAcentral
CUCCUGUCUUCUUCGGGUCCUUAAUAGAACUCAAAACUAGGUUUCUUCUGUAUAUAAACUAUAUCUUUCUCUUCCUCAGAGAUUGAAUUGAAAGUCGACUGAAUGUGAUGAAAGGUUAUAUGCUUAACACAUGCAAGUCGAAUAUAGUAUGAAGGCUUUCUCUUCUAAAGGCAGGGGUGAGGACUCCAUUGCGGCAUUAAGUAAGGAGUUGGAGGAAAUCA